UACGAAGGAUUCGAGCGUUAUCCGGAUUUAUUGUGUUUAAAGGGUGCGUAGGCGGACCGAUAAGUCAGUGGUGAAAUCCUGUUGCUUAACAACAGAACUGCCAUUGAUACUGCCGGUCUUGAGUACAGUUGAGGUAGGCGGAAUGUGUCAUGUAGUGGUGAAAUACUUAGAUAUGACACAGAACACCGAUUGCGAAGGCAGCUUACUACGGAUCGAUUGACACUGAGGCACGAAAGCGUGGGGAUCAAACAGG
Molecule: ribosomal RNA, 253 nt
Filed under: uncultured bacterium
Lineage: Bacteria
Description: partial 16S ribosomal RNA
Rfam family: Bacterial small subunit ribosomal RNA
Source: RNAcentral